Molecule: unclassified non-coding RNA, 317 nt
Filed under: uncultured fungus
Lineage: Eukaryota; Fungi
Description: partial contains 5.8S ribosomal RNA and internal transcribed spacer 2
Rfam family: 5.8S ribosomal RNA (bases 1-133)
Source: RNAcentral
UGGUUCCAGCAUCGAUGAAGAACGCAGCGAAAUGCGAUAAGUAAUGCGAAUUGCAGAUAUCAGUGAGUCAUCGAAUCUUUGAACGCACAUUGCACCCCUUGGUAUUCUAAGGGGUAUACCUAUUCGAGCGUCAUAGUCCCACUUCAAGCUCUAGCUUGGUCUUGGCUCGUGCUACCUCUAGCGGUUGCAGGGCUUAAACAUUAUCUAGGCCUAGGUGAUGGUACCGAGUAAAGUAAAAUACCUACCCAGGGACCUCGCCGAAACCCUAAAACCUCCCAAGUCUGGAUGACCUCGGAUUAGGUAGGAGUACCCGCUGA